GAAAUCCACUAGGGGCGCCUUCAUGGCUGAGAUAAAGCGAAUGAGCUUUGGUCCCUUUGAACCUGAUCUGGGUUAUGCCAGCGUAGGAAAGUGGGAAAGUGAGUUC
RNAcentral lists this non-coding RNA (106 nucleotides) under Paenibacillus sp. RNAcentral describes it as "TPP sequence". It matches the Rfam family "TPP riboswitch aptamer (THI element)". From Rfam's summary of the family: Vitamin B(1) in its active form thiamin pyrophosphate (TPP) is an essential coenzyme that is synthesised by coupling of pyrimidine and thiazole moieties in bacteria. Lineage: Bacteria; Bacillati; Bacillota; Bacilli; Caryophanales; Paenibacillaceae. The record is from RNAcentral. RNAcentral also lists the same sequence under 1 other name.